UAAGGCGGCCAUACCGGGAGGGCUCCACUCUUUUCCAUCCCGAACAAGAUAGUGAAAUCUCCCAGGGCCGAUGGUACUCGGGAAAAUUCCCGGGGAGAGUAGGUCGCCGCCUUAC
This 115-nucleotide ribosomal RNA is filed under the name Candidatus Parcubacteria bacterium. The record is from RNAcentral. Lineage: Bacteria; Candidatus Parcubacteria.